Molecule: long non-coding RNA, 562 nt
Filed under: Oreochromis niloticus (Nile tilapia)
Lineage: Eukaryota; Metazoa; Chordata; Actinopteri; Cichliformes; Cichlidae
Description: lncRNA (ENSONIG00000040910.1)
Source: RNAcentral
UUCACAUGUUGUGCUGAUGAAUAAUAUCUUCAGGUUCACCAAUAGUCAGAGAAUAUACUUCGAUUAAACAGCAUUUGUAAAACUCAUCAUGUUUCUCUAGCCUACAAAGGCUGAAAGAGUGUGGGGUCCAUCAUGUUUUCAUAGAUUUGUGGAUGAAAACUUUGCUGCAGUCUUGGAGGCUUUACUUCUCAAUGUUUACAUUUGGUUUUACUUUGUUCACCAGGUAACAUCACAGAGGUGGUGGAUGAAGAUGAUUUGAAUGAACUGACCAGGCUGGUGUUGUUCACUGCACCCACUUCAGAGGCAGCUGGAUUAAAGAUUUCUCGUGGUCUGAAACUUAUGAUGCUCAAUUUUGGCUCAAGAAGAAUGACUCAAAGGCUGUGAAGAUGAUGAAACAGGAAGAAGACUUUGCGUGUACCUUCAUCGAAGAAGCAAACUGCAAAGUAACCAUCAUAUUUAUCAUAUUGAUAUAAAUCACUGCAUAAUCAGAUUUCACUGAGAGACUGAGUGAUUGCAAUGUAUGUGUAUCAGUAGAUUUAUGUGCAGUAAUGUUUGACACCCU